This is a small nuclear RNA of Monodelphis domestica (gray short-tailed opossum), 103 nucleotides long. The record is from Ensembl. Lineage: Eukaryota; Metazoa; Chordata; Mammalia; Didelphimorphia; Didelphidae.
GUACUCACUUCAGUAGCACACAAACUAAAAUUGAAAUGACACAGAGAAAAUUAGCCCGGCCCCUGUGUAAGAAUGACAUACAAAUUAGCGAAGCAUUGUGUUU